UGAAUUGUGAUUAAAGAAAAAUUAAUGACAUUCAUCAUUGUUUAUGCGGAGAUCAUCAUCUCUGGUGUAAUUGUUUUCAAUGCAGACAACUACAGAAUAAGGAAACGUCAAAUGGGGAAGCUCCAUGUAUUUAUUGCAGCGACACUACAGUUGAAUUUGAUCAUUGGUUCAUGCCAAAAAUUAUUUGAUGUACAUAGUUCAAAUGAUGCUCGAUCCUACAAUUGUACAGCAUGUUCAGUAACCCCCAGGGAAUGGAAUG
This 259-nucleotide long non-coding RNA is filed under the name Eucalyptus grandis. RNAcentral's name for it is "long non-coding RNA (EGRA_LNC007939)". Lineage: Eukaryota; Viridiplantae; Streptophyta; Magnoliopsida; Myrtales; Myrtaceae. The record is from RNAcentral.